Molecule: long non-coding RNA, 741 nt
Organism: Stegodyphus dumicola
Lineage: Eukaryota; Metazoa; Arthropoda; Arachnida; Araneae; Eresidae
Source: RefSeq, a predicted model, not a curated record
AUUAAUCACUGCAAUUACCCUCUACAAUAUUUUCAUUUUUACUUUUGAAGGCAGCAUUUACACAACUCAACUCAAUUCAUCCUAUCCCAUCUAAUUUCUUUUCAGUCUUUUGCGGAAAUAUGUGCGGUGGAUAAGGACCAGCUAUUCUAAACAGGAUGGAAAACCAACUAUACAAAUACUACUACUCUGAAAAUCCGAACCAGAACUUUCAAUUGCCUCUCAAGAUUUCAAGUCUUUCAGAGAUCCAGCAGUGCCCACUAACCGUUUGCAGUGCCCACUAACCGUUUUGCCGUUCGUGUGGUUAACACGAACGACAAAAUAGUAGAAUGCUGGAAAUUUGACGGGGUUUUAUAUUUCAGAGGUUGGAGUUGUUUGCAUGAAACAUGUUAUGGCUUUAUCCACAUGUGGCAUGAAAAUAAGUUUUCCUCAAAAUUCUCCAUGAAAGCAUUCCUUCCAUCAGAUAAAUGAAAAAUAUUCCUAAGCAACUAAAACAUUGCAUCUCUUAUUACAAUACCCAUCAGUAGCGCCAGUUCUUGAGAGUUUUUUCAAAUCUGAAACUUUCGACAAACCUGUGCAACUAAAAUUUAAAUCUAUGCGAAUUUGUGGAAUUUUUGUGACUUCGUCAUUUUCUUGUGCUACAUUUUGUUACCUUAGAAGUUUUCAAUGCAUUAUAAAAUACUUAUUUGUUAAUAUAAUAUAUCUAUUGAAAUUACUUUAUAAUAAAAAAUAGUGAUUUAUUUU